RNAcentral lists this ribosomal RNA (1225 nucleotides) under metagenome. RNAcentral describes it as "bacterial SSU rRNA". It matches the Rfam family "Bacterial small subunit ribosomal RNA", at positions 8 to 1224 of the family's 1533-position model. The record is from RNAcentral.
AGAGUUUGAUCCUGGCUCAGGAUGAACGCUAGCUACAGGCUUAACACAUGCAAGUCGAGGGGAAACGAUAUUGGAAGCUUGCUUCCGAUAGGCGUCGACCGGCGCACGGGUGAGUAACGCGUAUCCAACCUGCCCACCACUUGGGGAUAACCUUGCGAAAGUAAGACUAAUACCCAAUGAUAUCUCUAGAAGACAUCUGAAAGAGAUUAAAGAUUUAUCGGUGAUGGAUGGGGAUGCGUCUGAUUAGCUUGUUGGCGGGGUAACGGCCCACCAAGGCAACGAUCAGUAGGGGUUCUGAGAGGAAGGUCCCCCACAUUGGAACUGAGACACGGUCCAAACUCCUACGGGAGGCAGCAGUGAGGAAUAUUGGUCAAUGGACGAGAGUCUGAACCAGCCAAGUAGCGUGCAGGAAGACGGCCCUAUGGGUUGUAAACUGCUUUUAUAAGGGAAUAAAGUGAGAGUCGUGACUCUUUUUGCAUGUACCUUAUGAAUAAGGACCGGCUAAUUCCGUGCCAGCAGCCGCGGUAAUACGGAAGGUCCGGGCGUUAUCCGGAUUUAUUGGGUUUAAAGGGAGCGUAGGCCGGAGAUUAAGCGUGUUGUGAAAUGUAGACGCUCAACGUCUGCACUGCAGCGCGAACUGGUUUCCUUGAGUACGCACAAAGUGGGCGGAAUUCGUGGUGUAGCGGUGAAAUGCUUAGAUAUCACGAAGAACUCCGAUUGCGAAGGCAGCUCACUGGAGCGCAACUGACGCUGAAGCUCGAAAGUGCGGGUAUCGAACAGGAUUAGAUACCCUGGUAGUCCGCACGGUAAACGAUGGAUGCCCGCUGUUGGUCUGAAUAGGUCAGCGGCCAAGCGAAAGCAUUAAGCAUCCCACCUGGGGAGUACGCCGGCAACGGUGAAACUCAAAGGAAUUGACGGGGGCCCGCACAAGCGGAGGAACAUGUGGUUUAAUUCGAUGAUACGCGAGGAACCUUACCCGGGCUUGAAUUGCAGAGGAAGGAUUUGGAGACAAUGACGCCCUUCGGGGCCUCUGUGAAGGUGCUGCAUGGUUGUCGUCAGCUCGUGCCGUGAGGUGUCGGCUUAAGUGCCAUAACGAGCGCAACCCCUCUCCUUAGUUGCCAUCAGGUUAAGCUGGGCACUCUGGGGACACUGCCACCGUAAGGUGUGAGGAAGGUGGGGAUGACGUCAAAUCAGCACGGCCCUUACGUCCGGGGCUACACACGUG